GUAGGUGGCAAGCGUUGUCCGGAAUUAUUGGGCGUAAAGCGCGCGCAGGCGGUUCUUUAAGUCUGAUGUGAAAGCCCACGGCUCAACCGUGGAGGGUCAUUGGAAACUGGAGAACUUGAGUACAGAAGAGGAAAGCGGAAUUCCACGUGUAGCGGUGAAAUGCGUAGAGAUGUGGAGGAACACCAGUGGCGAAGGCGGCUUUCCGGUCUGUAACUGACGCUGAGGCGCGAAAGCGUGGGGAGCAAACAGGGAUUAGAUACCCUGGUAGUCCACGCCGUAAACGAUGAGUGCUAAGUGUUAGGGGGUUUCCCGCCCCCUUAGUGCUGCAGCUAACGCAUUAAGCACUCCGCCUGGGGAGUACGGCCGCAAGGCUG
This 374-nucleotide ribosomal RNA is filed under the name uncultured organism. Its description in RNAcentral is "partial 16S ribosomal RNA". It matches the Rfam family "Bacterial small subunit ribosomal RNA", at positions 527 to 896 of the family's 1533-position model. The record is from RNAcentral.